GAAUUAAAAGCUUUAGCGUUUCAUUUACACAGAAAAGAAUAAUCAUCCAAUUUUCAUAAACUUUCUUUGA
Molecule: transfer RNA, 70 nt
Filed under: Myrmekiaphila tigris
Lineage: Eukaryota; Metazoa; Arthropoda; Arachnida; Araneae; Euctenizidae
Description: tRNA-Val
Source: RNAcentral